Molecule: ribosomal RNA, 484 nt
Filed under: uncultured bacterium
Lineage: Bacteria
Description: partial 16S ribosomal RNA
Rfam family: Bacterial small subunit ribosomal RNA
Source: RNAcentral
AUUGAACGCUGGCGGCAGGCCUAACACAUGCAAGUCGAGCGGCAGCAGGGUGCUUGCUCCUGGUUUCAGCGGCGGACGGGCGGGUAAUGCCUAGGAAUAUGCCUGGCUGCGGUGGCUAGGGUCCGGACGUGGGCGCACAUACCGCAAUAGCCCUGACGACGUACGUGGGGGAUCAUCGGACCUUCCGCUAUUGGAUGAGUCAAGGUCGGAUUAGCUAGUUGGUGGGGUAAAGGCCUACCAAGGCGACGAUCCGUAGCUGGUCUGAGAGGAUGAUCAGUCACACUGGAACUGAGACACGGUCCAGACUCCUACGGGAGGCAGCAGUGGGGAAUAUUGGACAAUGGGCGAAAGCCUGAUCCAGCCAUGCCGCGUGUGUGAAGAAGGUCUUCGGAUUGUAAAGCACUUUAAGUGGGGAGGAAGAGCAGUAAGUUAAUACCUUGCUGUUUUGACGGUACCAACAGAAUAAGCACCGGCUAACUUCGUG